UACGUAGGGGGCAAGCGUUGUCCGGAAUCAUUGGGCGUAAGGCGCGUGUAGGCGGCCUUGUAAGUCCGUUCUGAAAGUCCGGGGCUCAACCCCGGGAGGCGGAUGGAUACUGCAAGGCUCGAGUACGGAAGAGGCGAGUGGAAUUCCCGGUGUAGCGGUGAAAUGCGCAGAUAUCGGGAGGAACACCAAUGGCGAAGGCAGCUCGCUGGGACGUUACUGACGCUGAGACGCGAAAGCGUGGGGAGCAAACAGG
Molecule: ribosomal RNA, 253 nt
Filed under: uncultured bacterium
Lineage: Bacteria
Description: partial 16S ribosomal RNA
Rfam family: Bacterial small subunit ribosomal RNA
Source: RNAcentral